RNAcentral lists this long non-coding RNA (485 nucleotides) under Vitis vinifera (wine grape). RNAcentral's name for it is "long non-coding RNA (VVIN_LNC002083)". Lineage: Eukaryota; Viridiplantae; Streptophyta; Magnoliopsida; Vitales; Vitaceae. The record is from RNAcentral.
AUAUUUCUAUUUUCUAGUGUUUCUAUUCUAAACCACGAAUUUCUUCUCAUUUGAAGGGUUUUGGGUACAGUCUUUUUAUUCUUCUUCUUUCCACAAGUGUACUAAACUUCCUAGCCAUUUAUCCAUACCUGCCUUCUUGGUAAUAGCUUAAAGUGCAAGUGCUAAUAAUGUCAUGAUCCUCCUACCAAGCAUAAUCAUGUUUCUUGCCAGCCCACCUCUUUUAGCCCCAUCACUAUUAUAUAACAAGCAGAUGCACCCAGAAUUUGUUUAGGAUUUGAAAAUUUGAAGUGUCCUUAGUAUACCAAUCUCCUGUUCAUAGAAAAAUUUGCUGCCUCAGCAUGUUUGUGUAGUACUUAUCCAUGUCCCAUAUCAUGUGCAUGCAACAUGGAAUGUCAUGUUUUGGUACCAAGAAACCAAGAAACCAAGAAACCAAGAAACCAAGAAACCAAGAUAAAAAUUCCAUGGGUCAAGUAAAAAUUAUGAAU